Molecule: ribosomal RNA, 429 nt
Filed under: Verrucomicrobiota bacterium
Lineage: Bacteria; Pseudomonadati; Verrucomicrobiota
Description: Verrucomicrobia bacterium partial 16S ribosomal RNA
Rfam family: Bacterial small subunit ribosomal RNA
Source: RNAcentral
UAGGGAAUCUUCGGCAAUGGGGGGAACCCUGACCGAGCAACGCCGCGUGAGUGACGAAGGUUUUCGGAUCGUAAAGCUCUGUUGUUAAGGAAGAACGAGUGUGAGAAUGGAAAGUUCAUGCUGUGACGGUACUUAACCAGAAAGGGACGGCUAACUACGUGCCAGCAGCCGCGGUAAUACGUAGGUCCCGAGCGUUGUCCGGAGUUAUUGGGCGUAAAGCGAGCGCAGGCGGUUAGAAAAGUCUGAAGUGAAAGGCAGUGGCUCAACCAUUGUAGGCUUUGGAAACUGUUUAACUUGAGUGCAGAAGGGGAGAGUGGAAUUCCAUGUGUAGCGGUGAAAUGCGUAGAUAUAUGGAGGAACACCGGUGGCGAAAGCGGCUCUCUGGUCUGUAACUGACGCUGAGGCUCGAAAGCGUGGGGAGCGAACAGG